AUGACCGACAUGGGCACUCUCCACUACUUCCUCGGGAUCGCGGUCACCCGCGACUCCUUCGACAUGCACCUCUCGCAAGCCAAGUACGCCGGGGAAAUUCUAGACAGGCCCGGCAUGACUGCUUGCAAGUCCGCCACAACACCGGUCAACACGUCGCCAAAGUUCGCUGCCACCGCCGGCCCUCCCGUGGUCGAUCCCACUAAGUACUGGAGUCUCGUCGAGGUUCUGCAGUACCUCACCUUCACGCGACUCGACAUCGCGUAUGCCGUUCAACAGGCAUGUCUUCGCAUGCACGACCCUCGUGAGCAGCACCUUGCGGCCAUCAAGCGCAUCUUGCGCUCCGUCAAGGGCAUGCUCUCAUGGACUCCAGCUCUACUCAUCUUCACCGGACUCCAUGGUCACCUACACUGA
RNAcentral lists this ribosomal RNA (411 nucleotides) under Triticum aestivum (bread wheat). Its description in RNAcentral is "partial small subunit ribosomal RNA". Lineage: Eukaryota; Viridiplantae; Streptophyta; Magnoliopsida; Poales; Poaceae. The record is from RNAcentral.